Anopheles minimus is the source of this 72-nucleotide non-coding RNA. NCBI's taxonomy places the organism in Eukaryota, Metazoa, Arthropoda, Insecta, Diptera, Culicidae. The record is from Rfam.
GGUCCGGUGGCCGAGGCGUUAAAGGCGCUGGUCUCACACGGCAAGACCAGGGUUCAAAUCCCAUCCGGACCG